GAUGAACGCUGGCGGCGUGCCUAAUACAUGCAAGUCGAGCGAACAGACGAGGAGCUUGCUCCUCUGACGUUAGCGGCGGACGGGUGAGUAACACGUGGAUAACCUACCUAUAAGACUGGGAUAACUUCGGGAAACCGGAGCUAAUACCGGAUAAUAUAUUGAACCGCAUGGUUCAAUAGUGAAAGACGGUUUUGCUGUCACUUAUAGAUGGAUCCGCGCCGCAUUAGCUAGUUGGUAAGGUAACGGCUUACCAAGGCGACGAUGCGUAGCCGACCUGAGAGGGUGAUCGGCCACACUGGAACUGAGACACGGUCCAGACUCCUACGGGAGGCAGCAGUAGGGAAUCUUCCGCAAUGGGCGAAAGCCUGACGGAGCAACGCCGCGUGAGCGAUGAAGGUCUUCGGAUCGUAAAACUCUGUUAUUAGGGAAGAACAAAUGUGUAAGUAACUAUGCACGUCUUGACGGUACCUAAUCAGAAAGCCACGGCUAACUACGU
Molecule: ribosomal RNA, 496 nt
Filed under: uncultured bacterium
Lineage: Bacteria
Description: partial 16S ribosomal RNA
Rfam family: Bacterial small subunit ribosomal RNA
Source: RNAcentral